Non-coding RNA from Delphinapterus leucas (beluga whale), 1214 nucleotides. The record is from RefSeq and is a predicted model, not a curated record. Lineage: Eukaryota; Metazoa; Chordata; Mammalia; Artiodactyla; Monodontidae.
GAAAAACUGGUUUUAAACUGAGCUGCAGUGCCCUUGCUUACCUAAUGUGUUAUUUGGAGCAACACCUCUGCAGUCUUUAGACCCAAGCUAUUCAUCAGUGGUCAAAGAUGCUAGAAACGGAGCAGUGGUACACCCCAGGGAGUUAUCAAUGUAAGCGUAGGUGUUGGUGUGCCUGGGAUCUGGAAAUGAGUCAGCGGCUGUGAGAGUUUCUUUGGCAGGUAAUUUUAUUUUCCCUGUGGCUAAGGAUAAUUACUGUGCUAAAGUUCCACGCAAAUAUGACAUUAUAAGGCUUUGAAAUUCAGGUUAAGUAUUCAUUCACUCUUUCAUUCUAAAGAAAAGCCAGGAAUGGGGAGGAGAGUGGUAUGGUUACUUAAAAAAAAUUUUUUUAAAACGUAUUACUGUAGAUUAACUCAAUUUCCAUUGAAUGAAACUGAACAUUACUUUGCUUUUUUUAUAACAGUCUGUUGUGCAAGGAACACGCCUGCCUUUUUAGCUAAAAGACUGCACCAGGCUUUGAAGGGCGCUGGGACUGAUGAGUUUACUCUGAACCGAAUAAUGGUUUCCAGAUCAGAAAUUGACCUUUUGGACAUUCGAGCAGAGUUUAAGAAGCAGUAUGGCUAUUCCCUACAUUCAGCAAUUGAAUCAGAUACUUCUGGAGACUAUGCAGUCACACUCGUAAAGAUCUGUGGAGGAGAUGACUGAGUCAAGAAUGUCAUUUCUAAAGGCUGCCUGCUCCCAUGACGGACUUUUCCCACAGCUCUAAUUACUUCUUUCUCGCAGUAUUUACAAGUACAAGCAAGUGUCAAGAGCAACCUGUUUUCCUAAUAGAGAUUUUCAUUGUUCCAUAAUAAUAACAACAACAAAGUGAUUAUUAUCAUAGAACAUCUCAUCAUAAUGUAGCCGUUUAUAAAUGAAAUUUUUAAAUGACAUUAAGGAUCAGCUAAUACUAUCCAAAUUAUAUUUCUGCUUUGGAAGUGAGACUCUUUGUUCAGUUCUAAAACAUAAAAUGCAAAACAGUGUAACACAAGUUCUUGCCUCCUCUGUAAAAUGUAAUCUGUUGUUAUCAUCAACCAGCAUUGUUUGGUACCUGGCACUGACAACUAAUGAUAUUUUAAAACAUGUUUUGGUUAUAAAGCUGUUGCUGCUUCCAUUUGUCUACCGUCUUAUUAAUCACAUUCAUCCUUAAGAAAGGAAUAAAAACGAAGAUGUAUGUA